RNAcentral lists this ribosomal RNA (460 nucleotides) under uncultured bacterium. RNAcentral describes it as "partial 16S ribosomal RNA". It matches the Rfam family "Bacterial small subunit ribosomal RNA", at positions 338 to 795 of the family's 1533-position model. The record is from RNAcentral.
CCUACGGGUGGCAGCAGUGAGGAAUAUUGGUCAAUGGACGAGAGUCUGAACCAGCCAAGUAGCGUGAAGGAUGACUGCCCUAUGGGUUGUAAACUUCUUUUAUAUGGGAAUAAAAUGUUCCACGUGUGGGAUUUUGUAUGUACCAUAUGAAUAAGGAUCGGCUAACUCCGUGCCAGCAGCCGCGGUAAUACGGAGGAUCCGAGCGUUAUCCGGAUUUAUUGGGUUUAAAGGGAGCGUAGGUGGAUUGUUAAGUCAGUUGUGAAAGUUUGCGGCUCAACCGUAAAAUUGCAGUUGAUACUGGCAGUCUUGAGUACAGUAGAGGUGGGCGGAAUUCGUGGUGUAGCGGUGAAAUGCUUAGAUAUCACGAAGAACUCCGAUUGCGAAGGCAGUUCACUGGACUGCAACUGACAGUGAGGCUCGAAAGUGUGGGUAUCAAACAGGAUUAGAUACCCUUGUAGUC